GACGAACGCUGGCGGCGUGCCUAAUACAUGCAAGUUGAGCGAUGAAGAUUGGUGCUUGCACCAAUUUGCAGAGCAGCGAACGGGUGAGUAACGCGUGGGGAAUCUGCCUUUGAGCGGGGGACAACAUUUGGAAACGAAUGCUAAUACCGCAUAACAACUUUAAACAUAAGUUUUAAGUUUGAAAGAUGCAAUUGCAUCACUCAAAGAUGAUCCCGCGUUGUAUUAGCUAGUUGGUGAGGUAAAGGCUCACCAAGGCGAUGAUACAUAGCCGACCUGAGAGGGUGAUCGGCCACAUUGGGACUGAGACACGGCCCAAACUCCUACGGGAGGAAGCAGUAGGGAAGCUUCGGCAAUGGACGAAAGUCUGACCGAGCAACGCCGCGUGAGUGAAGAAGGUUGUCGGAUCGUAAAACUCUGUUGGUAGAGAAGAACGUUGGUGAGAGUGGAAAGCUCAUCAAGUGACGGUAACUACCCAGAAAGGGACGGCUAACUACGUG
RNAcentral lists this ribosomal RNA (497 nucleotides) under uncultured bacterium. Its description in RNAcentral is "partial 16S ribosomal RNA". It matches the Rfam family "Bacterial small subunit ribosomal RNA", at positions 28 to 507 of the family's 1533-position model. The record is from RNAcentral.